GUUCCAUAUGAUGCACAGAACCACCCUGAACCCAUCUGAUCUCAGGAGCUAAGCAAGGUCGGGCCUGGUUAGCACUUGGAUAGGAGGCCCAUUGCAUUUAGAACA
RNAcentral lists this ribosomal RNA (105 nucleotides) under Propithecus coquereli (Coquerel's sifaka). The record is from RNAcentral. Lineage: Eukaryota; Metazoa; Chordata; Mammalia; Primates; Indriidae.